Molecule: ribosomal RNA, 171 nt
Filed under: uncultured Lachnoanaerobaculum sp.
Lineage: Bacteria; Bacillati; Bacillota; Clostridia; Lachnospirales; Lachnospiraceae
Description: partial 16S ribosomal RNA
Rfam family: Bacterial small subunit ribosomal RNA
Source: RNAcentral
UCCUACGGGAGGCAGCAGUGGGGAAUAUUGGACAAUGGGGGAAACCCUGAUCCAGCGACGCCGCGUGAGUGAAGAAGUAUUUCGGUAUGUAAAGCUCUAUCAGCAGGGAAGAAAAUGACGGUACCUGACUAAGAAGCCCCGGCUAACUACGUGCCAGCAGCCGCGGUAAUA